This 460-nucleotide ribosomal RNA is filed under the name Blastocystis sp. RNAcentral describes it as "SSU rRNA". It matches the Rfam family "Eukaryotic small subunit ribosomal RNA", at positions 29 to 496 of the family's 1831-position model. The record is from RNAcentral. Lineage: Eukaryota; Bigyra; Opalinata; Blastocystidae.
CGCUCGUCUCAAAGAUUAAGCCAUGCAUGUGUAAGUAUAAAUAAUUUUACUUUGAAACUGCGAAUGGCUCAUUAUAUCAGUUAUAGUUUAUUAGAAAUAUUUUACUACUUGGAUAACCGUAGUAAUUCUAGGGCUAAUACAUGAGUAAAACCUCAACUUCGGAAGAGGUGUGUUUAUUAGUAUGAAAACCAUAUAUCUUCGGAUAUAAUAGUGAGUAAUAAUAACCUUUCAUAUCGUAUGUCGUAAGAUAACGAUAGUUCUUUCAAGUUUCUGCCCUAUCAGCUUUCGAUGGUAGUAUAUGGGACUACCAUGGCAGUAACGGGUAACGAAGAAUUUGGGUUCGAUUUCGGAGAGGGAGCCUGAGAGAUGGCUACCACAUCCAAGGAAGGCAGCAGGCGCGUAAAUUACCCAAUCCUGACAUAGGGAGGUAGUGACAAUAAAUCACAAUGCGGAACUUUUA